GAUGAACGCUGGCGGCGUGCUUAACACAUGCAAGUCGAACGGAGUACCCCUGAAGGAGUUUUCGGACAACUGAAGGGACUACUUAGUGGCGGACGGGUGAGUAACGCGUGAGUAACCUGCCUUGGAGUGGGGAAUAACAGAUGGAAACAUCUGCUAAUACCGCAUAAUACGUCUGUGUCGCAUGGCACUGGACGUCAAAGAUUUAUCGCUCUGAGAUGGACUCGCGUCUGAUUAGCUGGUUGGCGGGGUAACGGCCCACCAAGGCGACGAUCAGUAGCCGGACUGAGAGGUUGGCCGGCCACAUUGGGACUGAGACACGGCCCAG
This 325-nucleotide ribosomal RNA is filed under the name uncultured bacterium. RNAcentral describes it as "bacterial SSU rRNA". It matches the Rfam family "Bacterial small subunit ribosomal RNA", at positions 28 to 334 of the family's 1533-position model. The record is from RNAcentral.